CAAAAUGCAAAGCCGCUUAAAACGACGUCGCCACAAUUCAAAGCUCCGGCCUGCAACUCUGCAACUUGUAAUUGAUUUGGCAUACUGGAUCACACCAAAUUUUGAAUACGGGGAGGCUAAAAACGAGAUGUUUCUACUUUCUGUCACUCACGGGUCAUGAAAUUUCUGCUCCAUUGCAAUUGAGGUACUAUGGAACAAUGCAGAAGAAAAAGGGAGAGUAAAGCCUUCAUGAAUCAUGAGCAGUCUAUUUGCAUACGGUCAGUCAAAGCUUGCUAACGUUCUCCAUGCCAAUCAACUUGAAAGAUGGUGUUCUUGAUAUGCUUGGUAAAUAUGUGCUUAAAAAUGUUCAGCAGGUGCCUAUCUCCUAUAACCCAAUGUCAUAUAACAUACUUUCCUCAUUGCGUACAGUUCUUUUCUCCUCCCUUCCAAAAGGAGGUGUGGACAAUUCUCUCAUGUACAAUGGAGUUGCUUGUAAGGGGACGCAAAUACAUGCUAUGGGGCAUUGGACCCACAGGUUAAGGGGAUGAGUGGAAAAUAUUUGGCAGAUUGUAGCUUAGCCGAAGUGAGCUCAUGAGCAAAUGAUACUAAAUUGGAAAAUAAACUUUGUGAUCACAGCUUGAGCUUGAUUUACUGAUGUACCCAUGCUUCAUAAAAGUCCCUUCAGGAUGACUUCUUGCCCCGAAUAGCCACCCCCCUUGGAGGACAUUUUCAAGUCGCUUUUCUGCAAUGGGCAACUCACAAUGUGGAAAGAAGAGACUACAAAUUGGCUUGGAAGCUAUGCCAUGAGGUUUGAGGGCACCCCUGACUUGAGUGGUUGUUAUGCCAAGGUAUCGGACAGCGGGCAAGGGUGCGGGGCAGCGGCUAGUCAAAAAAGAACUUAAGACUCAUGUUCAGGAUGUUUGAUACGGAAACGUAUUCUGUGGAACCUCUGCUUUCUGUGCCUGCUCAACCUAUGUCCUUCUGCUCAAGGUCUUCCACCCAAGUGCCGGCACCAGUAACCCCCAUUACACCUCCACCGGUGGAGAGACCGCCGGUGCCUCGACUGCCGCCAAUGUCUCGGCUGCCACUACUGCCACUGCCUCCAAUGCCACCGAUGACAUUCUUUGAAGCUUCUGCUUGUGACAGCUUGUCCAUACAAGAACUCGACAAUGCCAGAGUACAAAUGCUACUGGAAGUGAGCCCGGACAUGAAAGUAGCCGUACCCGGACGUCAAAGUAGCUGUUGUUUUCGGACUGAUUGUGGCCCAGAGAUAUGGGACGGACAUGUCACUAUGGAAAGGGCUUCAAGGCAGGGGUGACGAAGCCACAACUGCACUACUCAACUCUUAUAACAGUGUUCAAUUCCCGUGUCAUCCCCUCGGUGUGAUCCAAGACACGAAUUGGGCCCUGAUGGGAUCCACGCGCCACGUUCUCCAUAGGGCUUUGCACUUCAUGAAGGCUAAUGCAGGAUAUGGGAAAGUCAGUUGCAAAUUCACCCCUUGCAAUUAGUGAUCAACAGGAUUCAUUUGCUUUUCUGAGUCUAAUUUAUAUGCGGCUGUUUUUAGUUUGUUAAAUCUUGUUUAUCUUCAAUCGAGUGUGCAUUGAUGUGUUGAGUUUUCCCUCACCAUUAUGAUUGCAGAAAGUCCGUACGUGUA
This is a long non-coding RNA of Rhododendron vialii, 1633 nucleotides long. RefSeq lists it as uncharacterized. The transcript has 8 exons. The record is from RefSeq and is a predicted model, not a curated record. Lineage: Eukaryota; Viridiplantae; Streptophyta; Magnoliopsida; Ericales; Ericaceae.